AUGAACGCUGACAGAAUGCUUCACACAUGCAAGUCUUUGGCGAAGCUGUGCUUGCACAGCCUAGCCAAGGCGGACGGGUGAGUAACGCGUAAGGAACUUGCCCUGCAGUCAGGGAUAACAGACGGAAACGACUGAUAAGACCUGGUAAAGUCAGGCGGACUCAUGUCCAGCCUGAUGAAAAGAGAUGCUGCAGGAGAGCCUUGCGUCCUAUUAGCUUGUUGGUGGGGUAACGGCCCACCAAGGCGAUGAUAGGUAGCCGGCCUGAGAGGGUGGACGGCCACAAGGGGACUGAGAUACGGCCCUUACUCCUACGGGAGGCAGCAGUGGGGAAUAUUGGACAAUGGGGGCAACCCUGAUCCAGCAAUUCUGUGUGCACGAUGAAGGUUUUCGGAUUGUAAAGUGCUUUCAGCAGGGAAGAAAAAAUGACGGUACCUGCAGAAGAAGCGACGGCUAAAUACGUG
RNAcentral lists this ribosomal RNA (461 nucleotides) under uncultured bacterium. RNAcentral describes it as "partial 16S ribosomal RNA". It matches the Rfam family "Bacterial small subunit ribosomal RNA", at positions 29 to 507 of the family's 1533-position model. The record is from RNAcentral.